Molecule: long non-coding RNA, 329 nt
Organism: Thalassophryne amazonica
Lineage: Eukaryota; Metazoa; Chordata; Actinopteri; Batrachoidiformes; Batrachoididae
Exons: 3
Source: RefSeq, a predicted model, not a curated record
CGAAAUCAGCAUCUGCCUUCCCUAUGUCAAAUAGUAUGUAAAAAUAUAAAAGCUCUGCCUAUAGAAUUAUAUUAUUUUGAAUUUCCUAUUCAAAAUUACUUUUAUCAUAAAGUGAUUACUGGUAUCUCAAAAUAAGGCAAACUAAUGCACCAGAAUAAUGAGAAAUUACAAUUGAUUUUAGAAAGUUCUUUAAACAAGUUUGCUGCCAUGUGGAAACAAGUUGAAACAAGAAGGUAUCCAAAUGAUUGUUGUGCCUCGUUGCUGGAACCUAAUUAUUCAUAUUCCCUUGAUGUCAUCACAUGACAUCACUGAAGUCAGAAGUCAACCCC